Molecule: ribosomal RNA, 684 nt
Filed under: uncultured Vibrionaceae bacterium
Lineage: Bacteria; Pseudomonadati; Pseudomonadota; Gammaproteobacteria; Vibrionales; Vibrionaceae
Description: bacterial SSU rRNA
Rfam family: Bacterial small subunit ribosomal RNA
Source: RNAcentral
UAGAGUUUGAUCAUGGCUCAGAUCGAACGCUGGCGGCAGGCCUAACACAUGCAAGUCGAGCGGAAACGACACUAACAAUCCUUCGGGUGCGUUAAUGGGCGUCGAGCGGCGGACGGGUGAGUAAUGCCUAGGAAAUUGCCUUGAUGUGGGGGAUAACCAUUGGAAACGAUGGCUAAUACCGCAUAAUGCCUACGGGCCAAAGAGGGGGACCUUCAGGCCUCUCGCGUCAAGAUAUGCCUAGGUGGGAUUAGCUAGUUGGUGAGGUAAUGGCUCACCAAGGCGACGAUCCCUAGCUGGUCUGAGAGGAUGAUCAGCCACACUGGAACUGAGACACGGUCCAGACUCCUACGGGAGGCAGCAGUGGGAAUAUUGCACGAUGGGCGAAAGCCUGAUGCGGCCAUGCCGCGUGUAUGAAGAAGGCCUUCGGGUUGUAAAGUACUUUCAGUUGUGAGGAAGGGGGUAACGUUAAUAGCGUUAUCUCUUGACGUUAGCAACAGAAGAAGCACCGGCUAACUCCGUGCCAGCAGCUGCGGUAAUACGGAGGGUGCGAGCGUUAAUCGGAAUUACUGGGCGUAAAGCGCAUGCAGGUGGUUCAUUAAGUCAGAUGUGAAAGCCCGGGGCUCAACCUCGGAACUGCAUUUGAAACUGGUGAACUAGAGUGCUGUAGAGGGGGGUAGAAUUUCA